RNAcentral lists this ribosomal RNA (253 nucleotides) under uncultured bacterium. RNAcentral describes it as "partial 16S ribosomal RNA". It matches the Rfam family "Bacterial small subunit ribosomal RNA", at positions 524 to 776 of the family's 1533-position model. The record is from RNAcentral.
UACAGAGGUCUCAAGCGUUGUUCGGAUUCAUUGGGCGUAAAGGGUGCGUAGGUGGCGGGGUAAGUCAGGUGUGAAAUCUCGAGGCUCAACCUCGAAACUGCACUUGAUACUGCCUUGCUCGAGUACUGGAGAGGAGAUUGGAAUUUACGGUGUAGCAGUGAAAUGCGUAGAUAUCGUAAGGAAGACCAGUGGCGAAGGCGGGUCUCUGGACAGUUCCUGACGCUGAGGCACGAAGGCCAGGGGAGCAAACGGG